AUGUGGAUGAAAAAGAAACACGUGGCAGUUACACAAAGUGCUGUCACUAUAGCCUUACUUCCGUUAUUGCAAGUCGAGAAACCAAACCUUGAAGAGCUGUGUCUAGGGUCACACAGCCAGGAAUUUGUCGGCUUGAGGGCAGGGCUAGGCAUUGAGGGACAGUGGGACUUGGAUGAGCAGACGCAGCGGGGAGAGAGCUCCCGGGCUAGACAAGGAGAAGAUGGUACAGAAUUGCCUGCAGGGGACCGUGGAUAUUCUAAGUGUGUGAAAAAUGCCUGUUCAUACUAAGUGAAGUUAGUCAGACAGUGAAAAACAAACAUCAUAUGAUGCCGCUUAUAUGCGAAAUCUAAAAAAAGGAUACAAAUCAACUUAUUUGCAGAACAGAAACAGAGUCACAGACUGAAAAACUUAUGGUUACCGAAGGGAACAGAUGGCGGCGGGAUGGGCUGGGGGGGUUGGAAUUGGCAUAUGCACACCAAGGUACAGGGAAUGAUUGGCCAAUGGGGACCUGCUGUAGAGCACAGGGAACUCUACCCAAUGUUCUGUGAUCAUCUAUGUGGGAAAAGAAUCUGAGAAAGAAUGGAUGUAUGUACUUGUAUCAUCACUUUGUUGUGCAGCAGAUGUUAUCACAACCUUGGAAAUCAACGAGGCUUCAAUAAUUUUUUUUUUUUUAAGCGUGCCCAUACUGAGCA
RNAcentral lists this long non-coding RNA (692 nucleotides) under Sus scrofa (pig). RNAcentral describes it as "lncRNA (ENSSSCG00065048705.1)". The record is from RNAcentral. Lineage: Eukaryota; Metazoa; Chordata; Mammalia; Artiodactyla; Suidae.